CCUACGGGAGGCUGCAGUGGGGAAUAUUGCACAAUGGGGGAAACCCUGAUGCAGCGACGCCGCGUGAGUGAAGAAGGAAUUCGUUAUGUAAAGCUCUAUCAGCAGGGAAGAAAGAGACGGUACCUGAGUACGUAGCACUGGCUAACUACGUGCCAGCAGCCGCGGUAAUACGUAGGGGGCAAGCGUUAGCCGGAUUUACUGGGUGUAAAGGGUGCGUAGACGGCAGUGCAAGUCUGGAGUGAAAGGCGGGGGCUCAACCCCCGGACUGCUCUGGAAACUGUACGGCUGGAGUGCAGGAGAGGUGAGUGGAAUUCCUAGUGUAGCGGUGAAAUGCGUAGAUAUUAGGAGGAACACCGGUGGCGAAGGCGGCUUACUGGACUGUAACUGACGUUGAGGCUCGAAAGCGUGGGGAGCAAACAGGAUUAGAUACCCCUGUAGUC
Molecule: ribosomal RNA, 440 nt
Filed under: uncultured bacterium
Lineage: Bacteria
Description: partial 16S ribosomal RNA
Rfam family: Bacterial small subunit ribosomal RNA
Source: RNAcentral